Molecule: non-coding RNA, 664 nt
Organism: Zootermopsis nevadensis
Lineage: Eukaryota; Metazoa; Arthropoda; Insecta; Blattodea; Termopsidae
Source: RefSeq, a predicted model, not a curated record
CUUCUCAAGUCUGAUAGAGCUUUUGAAAACUUCAUACUUACUGACUGCUUUAUUUUUACCUUGUUAUUAGAUGUGUGAAUCGGAUAAAUAUUAUUUAUAUAUUCUCGUUUGGAAUUAACGUGCAUUAUCAGCAUUUUCAAUCUGCCCAUGGAAUGUUUAUCUGCAGAUCUACUUGCACGGUAGAGACUUAAUCUCUCUGCACGCGUUCAUCAGCCCAGAAAUCCUGCCGGCAGAAUAUGGAGGCAGGAAGCCUAGUUUCGACAACAAGGGAUGGAGAUUGUCGCUUCUGGCGAACGAGGACAAGUUUGUUGAACUGGAGACUUAUGGAUAUAAAGUCGAAGAUUUAUCAGAAUAGGAAGUACAAUGACUCUUUACUGUGGAUUCUAUACCCAAGACUUGUGGAAGUCACUUCCAUUCUUUUACAGAACCAUUUGCAGUGAGACAGCGCGUUUAAGAUGUUGAAAGAGAGGGUUACUGACAUUGUUUCCUGAUCGAUUCAAUGUAUUCUUGUUCCACCUUAAACGCUUUUCAUUUUUUUACCUGGAUUUCGAAACAGACGCUUUAAAAGUCAGUAAAUUUAGCUUAAGUUUAGUUUCAUUAAGUUUCUCACUUGGCUGUGGUAAAUAUUACAAAAUAUAGAUACACAUAUUUACGUCUUUAAAAU